This 514-nucleotide ribosomal RNA is filed under the name uncultured bacterium. Its description in RNAcentral is "partial 16S ribosomal RNA". It matches the Rfam family "Bacterial small subunit ribosomal RNA", at positions 28 to 523 of the family's 1533-position model. The record is from RNAcentral.
GAUGAACGCUGGCGGCGUGCCUAAUACAUGCAAGUCGAGCGAACAGAUGAGAAGCUUGCUUCUCUGAUGUUAGCGGCGGACGGGUGAGUAACACGUGGGUAACCUACCUAUAAGACUGGGAUAACUCCGGGAAACCGGGGCUAAUACCGGAUAAUAUUUUGAACCGCAUGGUUCGAUAGUGAAAGACGGUUUCAGCUGUCACUUAUAGAUGGACCCGCGCCGUAUUAGCUAGUUGGUAAGGUAACGGCUUACCAAGGCGACGAUACGUAGCCGACCUGGAAGGGUGAUCGGGCACACUGGAACUGAGCCACGGUCCAGACUCCUACGGGAGGCAGCAGUAGGGAAUCUUCCGCAAUGGGCGAAAGCCUGACGGAGCAACGCCGCGUGAGUGAUGAAGGUCUUCGGAUCGUAAAACUCUGUUGUUAGGGAAGAACAAAUUUGUUAGUAACUGAACAAGUCUUGACGGUACCUAACCAGAAAGCCACGGCUAACUACGUGCCAGCAGCCGCCGUAA